AGAAUCAACGCUGGCGGCGUGCCUAACACAUGCAAGUCGAACGCGAAAGUGGAGCAAUCCAUGAGUAGAGUGGCAAACGGGUGAGUAACGCGUGGGUGAUUUGCCUCAGGGUGGGGGAUAACCUUCCGAAAGGGGGGCUAAUACCGCAUGACAUAGCGCUUUUAGAUGAGCGUAUAUCAAAGCUGGAACCGCAAGGUCUGGCGCCUGGAGAGAAGCCCGCGUCCGAUUAGCUAGUUGGUGAGGUAAUGGCUCACCAAGGCGACGAUCGGUA
This 271-nucleotide ribosomal RNA is filed under the name uncultured soil bacterium. RNAcentral describes it as "partial 16S ribosomal RNA". It matches the Rfam family "Bacterial small subunit ribosomal RNA", at positions 26 to 285 of the family's 1533-position model. The record is from RNAcentral.